Molecule: ribosomal RNA, 449 nt
Filed under: uncultured bacterium
Lineage: Bacteria
Description: partial 16S ribosomal RNA
Rfam family: Bacterial small subunit ribosomal RNA
Source: RNAcentral
AACGAACGCUGGCGGCAUGCCUAACACAUGCAAGUCGAACGAGAUCUUCGGGUCUAGUGGCGCACGGGUGCGUAACGCGUGGGAAUCUGCCCUUUGGUUCGGAAUAACAGUUGGAAACGACUGCUAAUACCGGAUGAUGACGAAAGUCCAAAGAUUUAUCGCCAGAGGAUGAGCCCGCGUAGGAUUAGCUAGUUGGUGUGGUAAAGGCGCACCAAGGCGACGAUCCUUAGCUGGUCUGAGAGGAUGAUCAGCCACACUGGGACUGAGACACGGCCCAGACUCCUACGGGAGGCAGCAGUGGGGAAUAUUGGACAAUGGGCGAAAGCCUGAUCCAGCAAUGCCGCGUGAGUGAUGAAGGCCUUAGGGUUGUAAAGCUCUUUUACCCGGGAUGAUAAUGACAGUACCGGGAGAAUAAGCUCCGGCUAACACCGUGCGAGCCGCCGCGGUAA